GACGAACGCUGGCGGCGUGCUUAACACAUGCAAGUCGAACGGUAGGGCCCUUCGGGGUACACGAGUGGCGAACGGGUGAGUAACACGUGGGUGAUCUGCCCUGCACUUCGGGAUAAGCCUGGGAAACUGGGUCUAAUACCGGAUAGGACCCUGGGAUGCAUGUCCUGGGGUGGAAAGCUUUUGCGGUGUGGGAUGGGCCCGCGGCCUAUCAGCUUGUUGGUGGGGUGAUGGCCUACCAAGGCGACGACGGGUAGCCGGCCUGAGAGGGUGACCGGCCACACUGGGACUGAGAUACGGCCCAGACUCCUACGGGAGGCAGCAGUGGGGAAUAUUGCACAAUGGGCGCAAGCCUGAUGCAGCGACGCCGCGUGAGGGAUGACGGCCUUCGGGUUGUAAACCUCUUUCAGCACCGACGAAGCGCAAGUGACGGUAGGUGCAGAAGAAGGACCGGCCAACUACGUACCAGCCGCCGCAGUAA
This 478-nucleotide ribosomal RNA is filed under the name uncultured bacterium. RNAcentral describes it as "partial 16S ribosomal RNA". It matches the Rfam family "Bacterial small subunit ribosomal RNA", at positions 28 to 523 of the family's 1533-position model. The record is from RNAcentral.